RNAcentral lists this ribosomal RNA (253 nucleotides) under uncultured bacterium. Its description in RNAcentral is "partial 16S ribosomal RNA". It matches the Rfam family "Bacterial small subunit ribosomal RNA", at positions 524 to 776 of the family's 1533-position model. The record is from RNAcentral.
GACAGAGGUCCCGAGCGUUAGGCGGAAUCACUGGGCUUAAAGCGUGUGUAGGCGGAUUUGUAAGUACCUUGUGAAAUCCCACAGCUUAACUGUGGAACUGCUUGGUAUACUGCUUAUCUUGGGCCACUUAGGGGUUACCGGAACAAACGGUGGAGCGGUGAAAUGCGUAGAUAUCGUUUGGAACGCCAAUGGUGAAAACAGCUCGCUGGGGGUAUGCUGACGCUGAGACACGAAAGCCAGGGGAGCGAACGGG